GUGCCAGCAGCCGCGGUAAUACGGAGGGUGCAAGCGUUAUCCGGAUUCACUGGGUUUAAAGGGUGCGUAGGAGGGCAGGGAAGUCCGUGGUGAAAUCUCCGAGCUUAACUCGGAAACUGCCGUGGAUACUCUCUGUCUUGAAUCCCGUGGAGAUGAGCGGAAUAUGUCAUGUAGCGGUGAAAUGCUUAGAUAUGACAUAGAACACCAAUUGCGAAGGCAGCUCGUUACACGAAGAUUGACUCUGAGGCACGAAAGCGUGGGGAUCAAACAGGAUUAGAAACCCCCGUAGUCC
RNAcentral lists this ribosomal RNA (292 nucleotides) under uncultured bacterium. RNAcentral describes it as "partial 16S ribosomal RNA". It matches the Rfam family "Bacterial small subunit ribosomal RNA", at positions 505 to 796 of the family's 1533-position model. The record is from RNAcentral.